GCUCAAGCUACUAAGGGCAUACGGAGGAUGCCUUGGCAGCUAAAGGCGAUGAAGGGCGUGGCAAGCUGCGAUAAGCGUCGGUGAGGUGCACACAACCUUUGAACCGGCGAUUCCCGAAUGGGGAAACCCGUAGUCCAUAAUCGGGCUACAUCAUCCGAUGAAUUCAUAGUCGGAUGAGGCGAACCCGGAGAAGUGAAACAUCUCAGUAUCCGGAGGAAAAGAAAAUAAUUAUGAUUUCCUGAGUAGUGGCGAGCGAAACGGAAAUAGCCUAAACCAAUUCAGGCGUUAAAGCUGGCAGGUGUUGCCUGGAUGGGGUAGUGGGACUUGAUUGCGUCAACUGCUAUGAGGCGGAGAAGUCAAAAAGAUUUCCAAAUAGCUGAAUCUUCCUGGAAAGGAGAACCAAAGAUGGUGAUAGUCCAGUAGGCGAAAUUUGGAAAUCCUUCUUAGGUCAGGUUCCCAAGUACCACGGGACACGUGAAAUCCUGUGGGAAUCGGUCAAGACCACUUGACAAGGCUAAAUACUAUGUAGCUGACCGAUAGUGCACAAGUACCGUGAGGGAAAGGUGAAAAGAACCCCUGGCGGGGAGUGAAAUAGAACCUGAAACCGUAUGCCUACAAUCAGCGGGAGCUAGCGUAGGUCUUUCCUUCGGGUUCGACCUAUGCAGUGACCGCGUGCCUUUUGCAUAAUGAGCCGGCGAGUUAUUCUGUGUAGCAAGGUUAAUUUGUUUUACGAAGAAGCCGUAGCGAAAGCGAGUCUGAACAGGGCGUCAAGUUGCAUAGAGUAGACCCGAAACCCGGUGAGCUACCCAUGGCCAGAAUGAACUUCGAGUAAAAUCGGAGGGAGGUUCGAACCGGUGGGUCUUGCAAUACCCUCGGAUGAGCUGUGGGUCGGAGUGAAAGGCUAACCAAACCGGGUGAUAGCUGGUUCUCCCCGAAAUGCUUUUAGGAGCAGUCUUUUGGGUUUGAUGAUGGAGGUAGAGCACUGGAUGGGCAAGCUCCUGCUAAGCAGGAGCAAACUCAACCAAACUCCGAAUGCCAUUAUUCUUAGACCAAAGGAAAGAGGCGGUGGGGUAUAAGCUUCAUCGCCGAGAGGGGAAUAACCCAGACCAUUAGCUAAGGUCCCCAAGUAUAGACUAAGUGGAAAAGGAUGUGAGAUUGCUUAGACAGCUGGGAUGUUGGCUUAGAAGCAGCAAUCAUUUAAAGAGUGCGUAACAGCUCACCAGUCAAGGAAUCUUGCGCCGAAAAUAUAUCGGGGCUCAAGUCUAUCACCGAAGCUGUGGAUGGAGAUGAAAAAGGAAUAGAUGGAUACCGCAAGGUUGAAUUUUAUUCUGGGCGUAAGCCAUCGUCUUCGUGGUAGGGGAGCGUUCUGUAGUAGGUCAAAGGUAUAUCGUGAGGUAUACUGGACGAGGCAGAAGUGAUUAUGCCGGCAUGAGUAGCGUUAAAUCGGGUGAAAAACCCGGUCACCGUAAACCCAAGGUUUCCUGGGGAAGGUUAAUCCGCCCAGGGUCAGUCGGUGCCUAAGCCGAGGCUGAAAAGCGUAGGUGAUGGGAAAGCCGUCAAUAUUCGGCUACCAUCUUGGUAUCGUUACGAGCUAUGGGGUGACGCAGCAAGAAAGGUUGGGCCCGGUGCUGGUCGUCCGGGUCUAAGUUAUUGGGAUGGGCUGUAGGUAAAUCCGCAGCCAUAAUUCUCGAUAGCGAAUGGGAGUCCAACGAAAGAAGGACGAACUCAACCUGACUGACUGCCGAGAAAAACCUCUAUGCCAGAUAUCAGGGUGACCGUACCGUAAACCGACACUGGUGGGUAAGGAGAAUAUCCAAAGGUGCUCGGGUGAGCUCUCGUUAAGGAACUCGGCAAUCUAACCCCGUAACUUCGGGAGAAGGGGUCCCAGCACUUAUGUAAAUAAGUGCUGGGCGCAGUGAAGUGGCUCUACUGACUGUUUAACAAAAACACAGGUCUCUGCUAAGCCGUAAGGCAAUGUAUAGGGACUGACACCUGCCCGGUGCCGGAAGGUUAAGGAAGGGGCUUAUUUCCACUUCGGUGGAGAGAAGGUCUCGACCGAAGCCCCGGUAAACGGCGGCCGUAACUCUAACGGUCCUAAGGUAGCGAAAUUCCUUGUCGGGUAAGUUCCGACCUGCACGAAUGGUGUAACAAGUGGAGCGCUGUCUUGACGAGAAGCCCGGCGAAAUUGUAGUGGCGGUGAAGAUGCCGCCUGCCUGCGAUCGGACAAAAAGACCCCGUGAACCUUUACUGUAGCCUGUCAUUGAAUUUUGGCAAAUCAUGUGUAGGAUAGGUGGGAGGCGAUGAAGCUUUGGCGCUAGCCAAGGCAGAGCCAACGGUGAAAUACCACCCUUGGUUUGUUGGAAUUCUAACUCCGACUGUUAACCAGUCGGAAGACAUUGGCAGGUGGGCAGUUUGACUGGGGCGGUCGCCUCCUAAAUGGUAACGGAGGCGUCUUAAGGUUGGCUCAGCACGGACGGUAACCGUGCGUGGAGUGCAAGGAUAUAAGCCAGCUUGACUGUGAGACAAACAAGUCGAACAGGGACGAAAGUCGAGCCUAGUGAUCCGGUGGUUCCGCGUGGAAGGGCCAUCGCUCAACGGAUAAAAGGUACUCCGGGGAUAACAGGCUGAUCGGGCCCAAGAGUUCACAUCGACGGCCCGGUUUGGCACCUCGAUGUCGGCUCAUCGCAUCCUGGGGCUGGACAAGGUCCCAAGGGUUGGUCUGUUCGCCCAUUAAAGCGGUACGUGAGCUGGGUUCAGAACGUCGUGAGACAGUUCGGACUCUAUCCAUCGUAGGCGGAGGAGACUUGAGGGGAGCUGUCCUUAGUACGAGAGGACCAGGAUGGACAUACCUCUGAUGUACGAGCUGUACUGCCAAGUGCACCGCUCGGUAGUCAAGUAUGGAAGGGAUAACCGCUGAAAGCAUCUAAGUGGGAAGCCCACCCCAAGAUUAGGUCUCACGAGUACUCUUCUGGCAACAGAAGAGAUACCCUGAAGGCUCCUGGUAGACUACCAGGUGAUAGGUCACAGGUGUAAGUCCGGUAACGGAUUCAGCCAAGUGAUACUAAUCAGCCGUGCGGCUUGAUUUU
This 3086-nucleotide ribosomal RNA is filed under the name Caldifarciminota bacterium. Its description in RNAcentral is "23S ribosomal RNA". It matches the Rfam family "Bacterial large subunit ribosomal RNA". The record is from RNAcentral. Lineage: Bacteria; Pseudomonadati; Caldifarciminota.